AUUGAACGCUAGCGGGAUGCUUUACACAUGCAAGUCGAACGAGUGGCGGACGGGUGAGUAAUAUAUCGGAAUGUGCCCAGUAGCGGGGGAUAACUACUAGAAAGAGGGGCUAAUACCGCAUAAUAUUGGAGGGGCCGAUCUCGGAGUGGCUAGUUGGUGGGGUAAAGGCUCACCAAGGCAACGAUCCGUAGCUGGUUUGAGAGGACGACCAGCCACACGGGGACUGAGACACGGCCCAGACUCCUACGGGAGGCAGCAGUGGGGAAUUGUGGACAAUGGGGGAAACCCUGAUGCAGCCAUCCCGCGUGUAUGAGAAGGCCUUCGGGUUGUAAAGUACUUUUGGCAGGGAAGCGUUAUCUGCAGAAUAAGCACCGGCUAACUACGUGCCAGCAGCCGCGGUAAUAC
RNAcentral lists this ribosomal RNA (405 nucleotides) under uncultured bacterium. Its description in RNAcentral is "partial 16S ribosomal RNA". It matches the Rfam family "Bacterial small subunit ribosomal RNA", at positions 30 to 526 of the family's 1533-position model. The record is from RNAcentral.